Petromyzon marinus (sea lamprey) is the source of this 1416-nucleotide long non-coding RNA. RefSeq lists it as uncharacterized. NCBI's taxonomy places the organism in Eukaryota, Metazoa, Chordata, Hyperoartia, Petromyzontiformes, Petromyzontidae. The record is from RefSeq and is a predicted model, not a curated record.
AACCCACGACCUCCUGUUUACCAGGCGAAGGUGUCCACAUCUCGCCAUCGUGGCACCCCUUAUCUUAGCCAUUGGUGUCAAUGGAAUUAGAGUUGCCGGGAUGCAUUGCGCAGUACGCUAACCACUGCGCCCUAGAACCAAAACUGCAAGCAAACGGGCAGAUAGUAAAUAGCGCCUGUUGCACGAGUGAAAACUCCUCCUUACCUUUCCCUCCUCCCAACACAUACAUCACAUGACACACACGUCCGCACGGACACACACACACACCUACACACCUGCCCUGCAUGCCAAACCAAUGAAACGUUAAACUCAGCUCCAGCAUUGGCGGUAGGUGGAAGAUUCUUAUCUAAGACGCGCUAAUUAAAAAGUCCGCCUACUUUAAGGCGUGUCCGUCCAAUCAGGUGCUCCUCCGUGCGAUAUGUAACUGCGGCCCACGGCGAGAGCGUCGAGAAGGAGAGAGGAGAGGAGAGAGACGCUCACAGCCUCGGCGGCAAGAGGAGGAGGAGAGAGCUGAGAAAUUGUCCAAGUCGGAUUCGUCCGCAUCGCGGGUCUCGCACGCUCUUAAACAGCCGUUCAAGGUGACUGACGGGAAUGUUUUUUUUACAUUUGGCCGCAUGUCAGAUGCAACUUCAUCCCCUCGCCUGCGUCGACUUUCCAGACCAUUUAUCUUCUCGCAGCACAACAAAUGUGUGUCACGGGUUUAUCCCCUCUCCUGCUAAGGGUGACGAUAACAUGGCCGUUUCUUCAAUACUGUUUCAAAAAAGGAUUUGAGUCUGGAAAUAUGAACGACUUCCAAUACCUGUGCCUCCCGAAUGUUUUAAUGCUUUUUGUAAAACACGAUAAGAUGAUGUUGCCAAUUUUGGGCAGGAAUCCAAGGGUGGUGUGGAGGACUUAUUUUUUUUUAAGAUAUCUCUCUCCAACUCUCACGAGACUGACUGCGCUCUUAAAGCCAAACUGGAUUUCUCAUACACACUCGCGGGUACUGAAACGGAACAGGUCUGUCUGGAACACUACAGUGGCCCACAAAAAGCCACGGUGGAAAGAAAGAAAUGAAAUGAAAUUAAUAAACCCACCGGAGACGCUGAAACCGCUUCUCCUUCUUCUUCAUCAUCAUCAUCAUCCUCCUCCUUCUCCUCCAUGCAAUUCCCACGAUUUCCGACGUCCUUCAUUCCACCGGAGUCUGUCAGGCUUAAACGACAGAUUUCGGGGGAUGAAGUGCAUCGGUCGUAGGGUAAAGCGACGGAGCUUUCUCAAGAAUCAACGCGACAAACAAGACAGCCACGACGCCUCCUCUGCAUUCCGAUGCGACGCUUUCGGCACUUGUCAUUAUUGCGGGGGUGUGAUGCUAAAACUGCUGUCCGUGUGCGUUUGUCAGUUUGUGGUAUUGAUCGUUUAAAAUAAAUCGCGUGAAUUUGA